This 728-nucleotide ribosomal RNA is filed under the name Staphylococcus sp. RNAcentral describes it as "bacterial SSU rRNA". It matches the Rfam family "Bacterial small subunit ribosomal RNA", at positions 61 to 771 of the family's 1533-position model. The record is from RNAcentral. Lineage: Bacteria; Bacillati; Bacillota; Bacilli; Caryophanales; Staphylococcaceae.
GUCGAGCGAACAGAUAAGGAGCUUGCUCCUUUGACGUUAGCGGCGGACGGGUGAGUAACACGUGGGUAACCUACCUAUAAGACUGGGAUAACUUCGGGAAACCGGAGCUAAUACCGGAUAACAUUUGGAACCGCAUGGUUCUAAAGUGAAAGAUGGUUUUGCUAUCACUUAUAGAUGGACCCGCGCCGUAUUAGCUAGUUGGUAAGGUAACGGCUUACCAAGGCGACGAUACGUAGCCGACCUGAGAGGGUGAUCGGCCACACUGGAACUGAGACACGGUCCAGACUCCUACGGGAGGCAGCAGUAGGGAAUCUUCCGCAAUGGGCGAAAGCCUGACGGAGCAACGCCGCGUGAGUGAUGAAGGGUUUCGGCUCGUAAAACUCUGUUAUUAGGGAAGAACAAACGUGUAAGUAACUGUGCACGUCUUGACGGUACCUAAUCAGAAAGCCACGGCUAACUACGUGCCAGCAGCCGCGGUAAUACGUAGGUGGCAAGCGUUAUCCGGAAUUAUUGGGCGUAAAGCGCGCGUAGGCGGUUUCUUAAGUCUGAUGUGAAAGCCCACGGCUCAACCGUGGAGGGUCAUUGGAAACUGGGAAACUUGAGUGCAGAAGAGGAAAGUGGAAUUCCAUGUGUAGCGGUGAAAUGCGCAGAGAUAUGGAGGAACACCAGUGGCGAAGGCGACUUUCUGGUCUGUAACUGACGCUGAUGUGCGAAAGCGUGGGGAUCAA